AGAACCCAGGUUGUCAGUGAAGUGAAGUGAAGUGAAGUGAACUCUCUCAGUCAUGUCCGACUCUUUGCGACCCCAUGGACUGUAGCCAGCAAGGCUCCUCUGUCCAUGGGAUUCUCCAGGAGUAUGCUGCAACACUGGAUCCUGCUUCCCCUGAGCUAAAAACCAAAUGUGGGGAUCCUAUUCAGCUCUCUGGAAAGCCCAAUGCAAUAAGCCUGCUCCUCUGUCCACAACGCCCCUUCGGAUGGAUGAAGACAACAGCUGUUGUUCUCACAUCUCCUCUUUCCAGCCAAACACUCCCAGAUUUUGCACCCAAUAUGAUUACCAAAUUACUACAGGAUUUAGCCGCCCUUGAGAAAGAAACAAGAAAGAACAAACAAUAGAAGUAGUUCCCUGAUGCCCAGGCUGGUGUCUUGCCUCUGGAUCGGCAGCCAGUACCGCAGUGAACUACCCGCGGAAAACAGUCACAGCCUGUUUGCCUUCCCCAGUCCCUCAGCUCCCACAGCCAAGCUGGACACCAGCUUGGACACUCCAGGGAUCUGUCUCCACCUAAACCUUGUCCCGUCCCUGCCCCUGACUGGCCCUUAUUUGAGCUGGGUCCAUUUUCUUGGCCACAUUGCUGACUGCAGUGCACGCUCAUUCCAGAAAAUGCCGACCUCUGCUCCAAGCCGCCUUGUCGGCAGUUUCCCAGACAUAGCUGGACUGUUUAUUUAUUUAUUUUUGUGUUAGCAGAGAGGAGAAAAUCACAUCGGCCUAAAAUGAAUACUAAUGAAAUGCCUUCGUUAGCUUCCUUUGUGAUCAGAAUGAAAAAUCGGAUUUCCGCAGAAUUGCAAGCCAUAUAUUUCUUUCCCCCAACCUUUUUCUCUUCUUUUUUUUUUUUUUUUUGCCCUUUCCUCUGAUAGGAAGAUUAGGGACAACCAAGAAGGAAAGUUAAAGUCAUUCCAUAAAAGAUAUCUGCAUUUUUAGGGGUGCCUUUGUUGCAGAGGGACAAGGAGGUGCAAUUUCUCCAAACCCAUUUUUCUC
Long non-coding RNA from Bos taurus (domestic cattle), 1020 nucleotides. Lineage: Eukaryota; Metazoa; Chordata; Mammalia; Artiodactyla; Bovidae. The record is from Ensembl.